AAAAAUUCAUAUCAAAGGGAUGCAUGUUGCGCGGUUAUAGCGGUUAUAGUGGCAAUACACAUGAGUGGCUCCAUUCUCAAUGCUAAAAUGCAUUCAGUUGAUAAGGAUUCCCCAAAAGUCGGGGCAAUAUGUGAAAUUACAUCAGUGUACUUGCAAACAGACAGAUCAGGCACAUUGUAAUUUUGCUAAUGCAGAGACCUUCAGCUCUGAUCCUGAAGUUAAUAUUCUUCAUCUUCUCCCUAACAAUGUAGUUAUGCCCAACCUUUCCGGUCACACACACACACACACACACACACACACACACACACACACACAUGGAUCAGGGACUGAUUACAUGCCACAAUUACAACAUGAGCACGAGCUUCAGCAAACAAACAGGGCGAAAGACAGAAAAUGUGUUGACUGCAUAACCUGUAAAGAAGACAUUUGUACUACAGUAAUGUCCCUACGAUCUACGUACAUACUAAAAAUAUAGCAAACAUCCUGGCAAUUGGAUUAUAAAACAGAACAACGAAGACACUGGAGUAUAUACUGCCAAUCAUACUCAAUUAUCAACGAAAUCGAGCCAACUAAUUUAGAAGGGCAAAAAAGGAUUUGAUUAUGGUAACCAACCCGAACAUAGGUAAUGGUGGCUCCCUGGCAUGCCAUUUAUACGGCCCUCUCCAUCUGCAAGGGAGAACGACGAGACAACCACCAAGAAAGUCAAAGUGUGACUGGGAUAUGGAGGAUACUUCUUCCCAGAAACCAUAUGAUAGGUACCAGACACAAUAAAUAAAUGGAAAAAAAUAGAAGCUACUAUUCAACAAAAAAAAUCUCGGCCUAACUUCUGUGAUAACAAGUUCAGUUUGAAUGUGAAAUUUUAGCCGACGACAGUAAGAAACAUUAAUAUGAACAGCUGAGGAACAUAUCCCUCCAGAAAUGUCAUCAAAUAAGAUUACUAAAAUGAUUAUCACAGUUACAGUUAUGUCACCUGGUCUGCCCUACCUGAAGUCAUUAUCUGAGGCUACAAGGAGAUGGUUGCAGGAGGCACUUAGAUAAAGACAAUGUCUUCCUCUCCGACCAACACGGAAUCCGCUGCCUUCAGUCCGUCCUCGUUUUGCCAUUGUUCUUCCUACCAUGCACCGAUUAUCCACGACAGGCCUGACAAUCGACGAAUCAGCUGGAGCACCACACAAAAGUACAUCUGAUUCAUCAGGAAGCUACUUUUCUGUUUGAGAAAACCAUGUGAUAAAAUCAUAAACAUGUUAACUCACUUGUACUGGUGCUCACACAUAGGACAUGAUAACUAUCACAUAUAAAUCUCCAAAACUAGCAACAACUUUCUCCAGCGUCUAUUGCCAAAAUCGAAGCUUCUCUUCUAGAUCGUGCAAUAAAUGCAACUAAAAUAUAAAGAGUAAUUUGCGCUGAUUGAAGUGCACACGUACCAUAGUAUAAAAUCAAUUGUAGCCUCCUGCUCCACUUGUGCCGCUAUCUAUAAAUCGAAUAAACCUCCAAGUAAGCAAUUCAACAAGCACGGCAUGAGCACAAAACAGAAAUGGAUAUAUAGUUCAGUAAUUCUACGAAUUAAUCAAAUAGUGGAAUCCUAAUCAUAUAUUUUAAAUACAAAUAGAUCAAACAAAUAAGGACAUUGCUGGAGUUAUAGGAGGUUAAAAAAGAAAUGAUAGGAUGAGAAAUCAGGGCUCACCUGAAGCAACAGAGGUGAAAGCUGCAGACCAAGAAAGGAUGCCCCUGCCUCUGAUGAAUAAAUAGGCAGUUUUUCGAUUAAAUUAGUCCAUGAAUAAAUCAUGAGCAUGACAUGAACAGCAUUGAUAACACACUGAUUACGAUCUAACAGAGCAUGUACUACGCACAUAGUAGAAACAUCUACGCAUAUCGCUAGUACUGCUACAACAGAAAGAAACACGAGAGGGAUAAGCGAUGUAUACCCUCCAAUCGUCCACGCGGCGGCGGUGACGGUGGCAGCAGCCGCGGCAUCCUCGGCGGCCUUCUUGUCAG
This 1995-nucleotide long non-coding RNA is filed under the name Triticum aestivum (bread wheat). Its description in RNAcentral is "long non-coding RNA (TAES_LNC016103)". The record is from RNAcentral. Lineage: Eukaryota; Viridiplantae; Streptophyta; Magnoliopsida; Poales; Poaceae.